UAAAACUUUCAACAACGGAUCUCUUGGUUCUGGCAUCGAUGAAGAACGCAGCGAAAUGCGAUAAGUAAUGUGAAUUGCAGAAUUCAGUGAACCAUCGAAUCUUUGAACGCACAUUGCGCCCGCCAGCAUUCUGGCGGGCAUGCCUGUUCGAGCGUCAU
This 158-nucleotide ribosomal RNA is filed under the name Xylaria sp. AO1. Its description in RNAcentral is "5.8S ribosomal RNA". It matches the Rfam family "5.8S ribosomal RNA". Rfam says of the family: 5.8S ribosomal RNA (5.8S rRNA) is a component of the large subunit of the eukaryotic ribosome. It is transcribed by RNA polymerase I as part of the 45S precursor that also contains 18S and 28S rRNA. Lineage: Eukaryota; Fungi; Ascomycota; Sordariomycetes; Xylariales; Xylariaceae. The record is from RNAcentral.